RNAcentral lists this ribosomal RNA (137 nucleotides) under Pachysandra procumbens. RNAcentral's name for it is "partial 18S ribosomal RNA". It matches the Rfam family "Eukaryotic small subunit ribosomal RNA", at positions 1697 to 1831 of the family's 1831-position model. The record is from RNAcentral. Lineage: Eukaryota; Viridiplantae; Streptophyta; Magnoliopsida; Buxales; Buxaceae.
UCCGGUGAAGUGUUCGGAUCGCGGCCUGUGGGCGGUUCGCCGCCGGCGAGUCGCGAGAAGUCCACUGAACCUUAUCAUUUAGAGGAAGGAGAAGUCGUAACAAGGUUUCCGUAGGUGAACCUGCGGAAGGAUCAUUG